RNAcentral lists this ribosomal RNA (441 nucleotides) under uncultured bacterium. RNAcentral describes it as "partial 16S ribosomal RNA". It matches the Rfam family "Bacterial small subunit ribosomal RNA", at positions 338 to 795 of the family's 1533-position model. The record is from RNAcentral.
CCUACGGGAUGCAGCAGUGGGGAAUAUUGCACAAUGGGGGAAACCCUGAUGCAGCGACGCCGCGUGAGUGAAGAAGGAUUUCGGUAUGUAAAGCUCUAUCAGCAGGGAAGAAAAAAGACGGUACCUGACUAAGAAGCCCCGGCUAACUACGUGCCAGCAGCGGCGGUAAAACGUAGGGUGCAAGCGUUAUCCGGAUUUACUGGGGGGAAAGGGAGCGUAGACGGCGCGGCAAGUCUGAAGUGAAAGGCAUGGGCUUAACCCAUGAGCUGCUUUGGAAACUUCCAUGCUAGGGUGCUGGAGAGGUGAGUGGAAGUCCUAGGGUAGCGGUGAAAUGCGUAGAUAUUAGGAGGAACACCAGUGGCGAAGGCGGCUUACUGGACAGUAACUGACGUUGAGGCUCGAAAGCGUGGGGAGCAAACAGGAUUAGAUACCCUUGUAGGC